CGUGUAGGCGGUUUCGCAAGUCGGAUGUGAAAUCCCGUGGCUCAACCAUGGAAGUGCACUCGAAACUGCGUGACUAGAGUUCUGGAGAGGAAGGUGGAAUGCUUGGUGUAGAGGUGAAAUUCGUAGAUAUCAAGCAGAACACCGGUGGCGAAGGCGACCUUCUGGACAGUGACUGACGCUGAGACGCGAAAGCGUGGGAGCAAACA
RNAcentral lists this ribosomal RNA (206 nucleotides) under uncultured bacterium. Its description in RNAcentral is "partial 16S ribosomal RNA". It matches the Rfam family "Bacterial small subunit ribosomal RNA", at positions 568 to 774 of the family's 1533-position model. The record is from RNAcentral.